Molecule: ribosomal RNA, 374 nt
Filed under: uncultured organism
Description: partial 16S ribosomal RNA
Rfam family: Bacterial small subunit ribosomal RNA
Source: RNAcentral
GUAGGUGGCAAGCGUUGUCCGGAAUUAUUGGGCGUAAAGCGCGCGCAGGCGGUUCUUUAAGUCUGAUGUGAAAGCCCACGGCUCAACCGUGGAGGGUCAUUGGAAACUGGAGAACUUGAGUACAGAAGAGGUAAGCGGAAUUCCACGUGUAGCGGUGAAAUGCGUAGAGAUGUGGAGGAACACCAGUGGCGAAGGCGGCUUUCUGGUCUGUAACUGACGCUGAGGCGCGAAAGCGUGGGGAGCAAACAGGGAUUAGAUACCCUGGUAGUCCACGCCGUAAACGAUGAGUGCUAAGUGUUAGGGGGGUUUCCGCCCCCUUAGUGCUGCAGCUAACGCAUUAAGCACUCCGCCUGGGGAGUACGGCCGCAAGGCUG